This is a transfer RNA of Camelus ferus (Wild Bactrian camel), 70 nucleotides long. It matches the Rfam family "tRNA". From Rfam's summary of the family: Transfer RNA (tRNA) molecules are approximately 80 nucleotides in length. Their secondary structure includes four short double-helical elements and three loops (D, anti-codon, and T loops). NCBI's taxonomy places the organism in Eukaryota, Metazoa, Chordata, Mammalia, Artiodactyla, Camelidae. The record is from Rfam.
GGGGAUAGCUCAGUGGUAGAGCACAUGCUUAGCAUGCACAAGGUCCUGGGUUCAAUCCCCGGUACCUCCA